Molecule: ribosomal RNA, 397 nt
Filed under: uncultured bacterium
Lineage: Bacteria
Description: partial 16S ribosomal RNA
Rfam family: Bacterial small subunit ribosomal RNA
Source: RNAcentral
AUACGUAGGUGGCAAGCGUUGUCCGGAAUUAUUGGGCGUAAAGCGCGCGCAGGUGGUUCCUUAAGUCUGAUGUGAAAGCCCCCGGCUCAACCGGGGAGGGUCAUUGGAAACUGGGGAACUUGAGUGCAGAAGAGGAUAGUGGAAUUCCAAGUGUAGCGGUGAAAUGCGUAGAGAUUUGGAGGAGCACCAGUGGCGAAGGCGACUGUCUGGUCUGUAACUGACACUGAGGCGCGAAAGCGUGGGGAGCAAACAGGAUUAGAUACCCUGGUAGUCCACGCCGUAAACGAUGAGUGCUAAGUGUUGGGGGGUUUCCGCCCCUCAGUGCUGCAGCUAACGCAUUAAGCACUCCGCCUGGGGAGUACGGUCGCAAGACUGAAACUCAAAUGAAUUGACGGGG